Molecule: long non-coding RNA, 520 nt
Filed under: Homo sapiens (human)
Lineage: Eukaryota; Metazoa; Chordata; Mammalia; Primates; Hominidae
Description: HSALNT0298491
Source: RNAcentral
UCAAAAAAAAAAAAAAGAAAUAAGAAAUAAAGUCUGUGUUCCCACCCCUUGAAUCUGGGCUGGUCUUUUAACUUUGAUGAACAAAACAUGGUGAAAAUGAUGUCAUACCAAUUCUAGGCCUAGCCCCUAAGAAGCCAUACACCUUUACUUUUAUCCUCUAGAAAGCUGGCCAACAAAUAAGUAAGUUUAGGGUAGAUUACUAAAGAAUGAAAAACAUUUCAGCCAACCAUCCCAACCAUUUCAGCCACACAGCUGAACUACCAGACAUGUGAAUGAAGCUAGUUUGGAAGUUCCAGCCCUGGCUAAGCAUCCAGCUGAAUGCAGCCACCUGAGUGACCCCAGCCAAUAAUAUCCAGAGCAGGAGAAUCAUCCAGUUCUCAGUGUCUCCUCUAGAAUGCAGUUUCAAUCUUCCAACCACAGCUUGGGAGGCUGUUCCAGCCUUGCUGACUUUUAGUAAGAAGAAAACAGUUUCCAGUGAAGACAGGGUCUCCUUCUGUUGCCCAGGCUGGAGUGCAGUGGC